UCAUUCCCACGCAGUCCACGUGAUACCACGUGUGUAAAAUGGUGUCUAACUGAUUGUGUAAAGAAAACUUUUAUACCCCAACUAGUCAUGAUUAUGACAUUACUGUCCCUAUUGUGUUUUGGGGCCAUCAUCCUCCAGUAUACGAUAUUACCUGUAUGACCAGGACAGAGGAGGAUAAAGGAGGAGCUACUGCCUACUGGUACUGAAACGGGGCAGAUUUGUAUCUUGAACUUAUAUGGGAAGAGAAUCAACGGAGAAUUUGUGGUUAUUACUAUCACUUAAAAGCCGUAAUGUAUCAUUUUAUUUCUUAUUAAUUCACAUCUUUUUCUAGUUAUGGAGAAUUUGUGGUUAGACCAAUUAUCACUAUCACUUAAGAGCCUUUAUGUAUCAUUUUAAUUAAUGCGCACCACAAUUUCCAAUUAAUAUCCAUCUUUUUCUAGUUAUGUUCGAGACUAUUAUUACUAGGAAUGCAGUCUGGAGACAGGGACAGGAUUGUCAGUCUUAGUAAAAAUGGGUGCAUUGAUGUGGUGGGGGUGUGGCUAGUUAUUAAUGUUAUAUUGAUAGUUGCAUAGCAUUGUGGGAUGGUAAAGAUUGGACGUAUCUUAAGACUGUUAAUAAUCUUGGAAAUGGAAUGCAUUAUGGAAUAAAGUCAAUAGCGCGUCCUGCUAUUAAAGAAACCUUGAUUGGAGUUUGGGGACAAUAUCACAAUAUAUUUAUACUCGAUCCUAAUACACUGGAGUUCAUUUGUGCUUUGAAAUCCUCUCACAAUUCAAACUGGAUAUCACAACUUAGGGAAGGUAAUACGGAAGCUGCAGGUGUGGGGUCUGUCAUUGGUAAGCUUCAUUGAGAGGAAGGUUCUGCUGCUCCUGAUUUCAAGUCUCAUUUCACUGGCUCUCUCUCUGACUCAUGGCAGUCCCCAGCCACUUCUUGUUCCCUUAUUGACUCAGUUUAUCCCAGUAUCAGUGCUGGUCCUUCUUCCAAUGUUACUGUUUCGGUUGAUCUGUGGAUUGUCCAAUGGUGGUAUUAUAGUUCUAUCAGGAACUCAAGCAGCUACCAAACUCUUACUAGCCAAGAGAAAGUUCUCAAGAGCAUGGUCUCAGUAUUAUUUCUUAAGAGGUCACAAGAGAAGAGUCCCCUCCUGUUGUAUCUUGUGACUGUAGCACUGCUUAUGAUAGCAAUCACUUGUUAUCUGGUGGUCCUGAUUUCUCUGUUAGAUUGUGGGACCUCUUCAAAGGAAUAUUGUUCCACACUAUUGCAGUUCAUGGUGGGUGGUCAGUAGCAUUGUAACAUGUCCUCCUCAU
Molecule: RNA transcript, 1301 nt
Organism: Amphimedon queenslandica
Lineage: Eukaryota; Metazoa; Porifera; Demospongiae; Haplosclerida; Niphatidae
Exons: 7
Source: RefSeq, a predicted model, not a curated record